This 253-nucleotide ribosomal RNA is filed under the name uncultured archaeon. Its description in RNAcentral is "partial 16S ribosomal RNA". It matches the Rfam family "Archaeal small subunit ribosomal RNA", at positions 474 to 727 of the family's 1478-position model. The record is from RNAcentral.
CACCCGCAGCUCGAGUGGUGGUCACUUUUAUUGAGCCUAAAGCGUUUGUAGCCGGUUUUGCAAAUCUUCAGAUAAAUUCCUCUGCUUAACAGAUGAUCUUCUGAAGAGACUGCGAGACUUGGGACCGGGUGAGGUUGAAGGUACUUCCGGGGUAGGGGUAAAAUCCUGUAAUCCUGGAAGGACGACCGGUGGCGAAGGCGUUCAACUAGAACGGAUCCGACGGUGAGGAACGAGGGCUAGGGUAGCAAACAGG